CCCAUAUCUAAUUCGCGACAGCUGGUAAAAUGCUUUACUCACCGGUUGCUGCAGUUUCCGACGCUUGUAGUCGCGUAGCACCUGUUCAUCAUCCAGGCCUGGCCGGCGCUUGAAGAAGCUGUCGCUCCUCGUCAAUUAUGGCGAUCUGUGCAGCCUCCUCGUCCUGCUCGUCGGCACUGAUGUCGCCGGGC
This is a long non-coding RNA of Drosophila novamexicana, 191 nucleotides long. RefSeq lists it as uncharacterized. Lineage: Eukaryota; Metazoa; Arthropoda; Insecta; Diptera; Drosophilidae. The record is from RefSeq and is a predicted model, not a curated record. The transcript is spliced from 3 exons.